CCGCGGUAAAACGUAGGAGACGAGCGUUAUCCGGAUUUACUGGGCGUAAAGCGCGUGCAGGCGGCAUGGCAAGUUGGAUGUGAAAGCUCCCGGCUUAACUGGGAGAGGUCGUUCAAUACUGCCAGGCUUGAGAGUGGUAGAGGGAAGCGGAAUUCCGGGUGUAGUGGUGAAAUGCGUAGAUAUCCGGAGGAACACCAGUGGCGAAAGCGGCUUCCUGGCCCAUUUCUGACGCUCAGACGCGAAAGCUAGGGUAGCAAACGG
Molecule: ribosomal RNA, 261 nt
Filed under: uncultured bacterium
Lineage: Bacteria
Description: partial 16S ribosomal RNA
Rfam family: Bacterial small subunit ribosomal RNA
Source: RNAcentral